GAUGAACGCUAGCGGCAGGCUUAACACAUGCAAGUCGAGGGGCAGCGUGGAGCAGCAAUGCUCUGACGGCGACCGGCGGAAGGGUGCGUAACACGUGAGCGACUUGCCCGUCACAGGGGGAUAACCGGCGGAAACGGCGACUAAUACCCCAUAUGAUGCGAUGCUGCAUGGCAUUGCAUUGAAAGAUUCAUCGGUGGCGGAUAGGCUCGCGGGACAUUAGCUAGACGGCGGGGCAACGGCCCACCGUGGCGACGAUGUCUAGGGGUUCUGAGAGGAAGGUCCCCCACAUUGGAACUGAGACACGGUCCAAACUCCUACGGGAGGCAGCAGUGAGGAAUAUUGGUCAAUGGACGAGAGUCUGAACCAGCCAAGUAGCGUGAAGGAUGAAGGUCCUACGGAUUGUAAACUUCUUUAUAAGGGAAUAAAACCUCCCACGUGUGGGAGCUUGUAUGUACCUUAUGAAUAAGCAUCGGCUAACUCCGUG
Molecule: ribosomal RNA, 484 nt
Filed under: uncultured bacterium
Lineage: Bacteria
Description: bacterial SSU rRNA
Rfam family: Bacterial small subunit ribosomal RNA
Source: RNAcentral